Molecule: long non-coding RNA, 741 nt
Filed under: Astyanax mexicanus (Mexican tetra)
Lineage: Eukaryota; Metazoa; Chordata; Actinopteri; Characiformes; Acestrorhamphidae
Description: lncRNA (ENSAMXG00005008581.1)
Rfam family: mir-7 microRNA precursor family (bases 481-574)
Source: RNAcentral
GGUGGUGGUGGUGCUGGUGGUGGUGCUAAUGGUGGUGGUGGGAGGCGGGGGGAUGGAGGGAUGUUGACGUUUGGCGUUUGGGUUUUGGGUUCUGAAGGCUCAGGCUGAAGCUGACGGCGGACAUGAAGAAGAACCGGCUCGGUUCAGAAGAGAUGACCCAACAGAAUCACCUGUUGCAUCGAAGAAAAGGGUACAGGGUAGUGGCAGGUGUGCCAGCUAGGACCCACCAACCCAAAGCGCCAAGCAGCUGUGUGUGGUUCCGGCGCUGCAGCUGCAGCCAGCAGAUUCCUGCACUUACCACCAUUGCUGAGACUGAUCCAACAAGACAGAAGGUCUUUUUCUACCAACUGGAGAAUCUUGCCCACAAAUUUGCAAUUUCUCAGUGUCAGAAGCAACGCUUAAAACACCUUCUUCAUCUCAGAGAACCCCACAGACAGGGGAUAUUCCACAAAAUCCGUCACCUUCUGAAGCCUGAAAGUCAGCCUGCAGCGCUGGGUGGAAGACUAGUGAUUUUGUUGUGAUACUGAACAAAAAGACCAACAACAAAACCCAGUCUGCCUCUCAGUGCCGGGUACAGCCCACCUAUCAAAGCCUGGUCAGUGUGGAGAAGUUUGGACCUGCUGCUGCUACAAAUGGGUAGCAAAGCAAAAGUUUUACUUUUUGGCAGUAGAUGUGGGGCAAAAAGAAAUCCAUGUUUAAUAAGAAAAUAAAAUUCUUUAAAAUAUUUUGUAAUGUUAAUAU